UCGUAUUCUUUUUGGCAUGUGGACAGCAAGAUUAAACCUUCAACCUUCAGACUGAGAGACAAAAUAGACAAAAGAGAGAGAAAUAAAACAACCAUGAGAAAGAUAAACAUACAAUUCACCAAAAUAAAGUUUCAUAAAUGGAAAAAAUAUCAGGAUUUGUUAAGAAAACUCCUUCAAAUGACAUUUCAGCGCUCAUAUUUCUACACCUGUAUCUCUACUUCUGCUUCACAGGAGACGGCGUAAGCUACUUCAACCUCUUCGCUGUGGUCAAAACAAAGGGUUAACUCUCGGUUCUUCAUCGCCAACUCAUUUAACAAGAGUCUAAAGGGACUCUCAUUCAUCAAGAGAUCUGAGCGCAGUGUUAACGUUAUGUUUCUCAUUUCACACACAUAUUACGGCCGCGCUCAGAGUGAUUGGUCUCUGGUGAGCAGUCAGGUACAAUUUAAAAGUCCUGUCUAUUUGUAAUCUGCUGGAAAGAUUGAAACAUGCUCUGAUACGGUACAGCAGAUCAAUCCAGAGCACAUACACUCUCCAUACACCUAUCCACACUAAUCAUUCGUCAAAACACUCUGGGCCAAAGAUAAGACGCUCGUCUAAUUAAGGUUUUGCAAGCCCAGCGCAAUAAAGACACUAAAAUGUCUCAGGGAUUAUUACUGCAGAUCGAUGUACAAUCUCCUGCUUUUUGAUUCAUCUCAGGAAUUAUCGUUGCUUCUGUGUGGUUUGGGUUAUGAUACAGAUGAAGAUAUAAAAGUGAAAGGAAAGUGAAUUUCAGGAUUACUGAACGUGUCUGUGAUCCAACAAUAAGACAUCUGAGUGAGAGCUGUGACUGAAACAUGUCCAACCAGAGUUUCAGAGCUCAUUUAACGUCAGAAUAAAAUCCCAGAGAAGAAUUUAAAAAAAUUAACCUGUUUGAGGAAAGAGGACCGAUCCAGUACAGUGAUUCAGAACAAGCAGGAACAUAAUAUUAGUAAAAGGGGCAGUUUGAAGUUUGGUUCACCUACAGUAUAAAGAGUUUUUUCACAUUUAUGAAAAAGACUGAAAUUAACAUUGAAGCCUUUUUAAGAUAAAAACAAACAACAUUGACAAUAUUUAUAAUGUGAUUUUUAAUGUCUGAAACAAUGAGAGGGGGUAGGUGUCAGCCAUCCACAUCCCUAGCUGUGUGACUGAGACUUCUUUAGAGAAGAUAAUUCCUCAUAAAACAUUGUUUUGCAUGCUUUUAUUUAACUAUUUUUCUGUCUUGAUGAAUUCACUUGUAUGCUUUUAUUUUGAAAUAUAAGCGUCUAACGUUAGAUUGUAAGUUUUGGAGCUGAAUAGAAAUGUUGAAAGAGCGAUUAGAAAGUAUAAAUGUGAAGUUGGUAAAAACUGAAGGACUCACAAGCUCAUCUCAAGCAGAGCAGGUGUUUCACAUGGGGUUAAAAUCACAACAUUUUCUCUGAUCUUUAAGGACCACAGAGUCUCCUCUAAUUUUCGUUGUUAACCCCAGAGAUGAUUCAGCACUUGUGGGUAUCCUUUGGAUAAUCGAUAGAGAAAUGUCAAAAAAGGGGUCAAAAAAUGUUGAAUCUUUUACUUCCAAACAUCAGGACCAAUAUUAGUACCACAGUCUGGUUUACAUAAGCAUCUUGGUGACUUGGUGACCGUUGGGCAUGAGGUAAAGAUGGCACUGAGUUCAGUUAGUGAUGAUACAGGACAGACAGUGAGUUUAAUAAGAGGUCGGACAGAUAAAAGAGACUACAGAGUCUAUUUCUCACAUUUUUCAGCUUCAGCUGCUCGCUGACUUUCCUUCAAACACAAAUAGGACAGAGCAGAAUAAACAGAGCUCAGGGCCUUUGUGGGCUUCUUCGCCUGUGGCCCCCUCCUGUCUGGGAUCGCCGACGGCUCAGCCUGGCGUGUUUGUGCUGCGUCGUUUUUUCUUAUCAAAGCAGAGAUCUUACUGUCCCACUUAAAUGGUAAAAACAGGAGAGUGGAGCUGGGUGCAAAUUGUUGUGUUUACAGGCAUAAACUGCGAUCCCAAAGGGCAGUUAUUAAGUGUUCACACGCUGCAGGGGAAGAGGCUCCAUAAUCCCUCCGAACAUGAACGAUAACAAUAAAGAACAACAACAAGCUAAACCUCAACACACACACACUCUCUCUCUCUCAGACACACACACACACGAAGUUGUACAGAGGUGCUUUAUCUAAAAGGCAUCUGAGAGGUCUUUGUGUUCAUGUAAGGAGGGUAAGCUUAGUGUUACAAGCAGGAGUCCAGUCCAGAAGCAAAAACUCCCAUGUAUAACCUACUGUAUAUAUAGAUAAAUAUCAAAGAAAAGAGCUGAAACAUCUGCAGACGUCAUUCAGGGCUCUUACACUAAAACAAACUCCACUCUUGAUAAGUGUUUUUGUUUUAUUUUUAGUUUAAAGUGUCUCAGGAGGCUUAAUUUAAGACGCACUUACCUUAUAAGUCCAGGCAAACUGCUUGUUUUGUGAAAGUACACUCCACAAAUGAGACCUGAAAGGCUAAUAAUGGCUAAAAAAAUAUUUGACAAUGGUAUAAGGAAAAAAAAGUUUUUGCUCUCAUUAAAUUCAGUGUAUUUACUUAUUUUUGGCAUGUUAAACCUUCAAAGAAGAUAUUUUCUGUACUCGUCAGGUGAAUGUGGCUUAAAUUUAACCUAAAAAUACAUUUAUUAGUUAGUUAUUAGAAAGAAACUCUUACUAAAAUGAGGCUUUUUGCAGAGGAGUUUCGGUAUUUUUAGCAGAUGGGAUUUAAAAAACGGAAUCUGUGGGGAAGCGCUCCAUAUUUUUGGCAAACAUGAUAGGGGUCAGCUGCCAAAACUCUCUCUGAGUACAAACACUGAACUGUUCAGUCCUCCAGGAGCUGACCUCGAUGACUUUAUGAGCCUCAACUUUUUGCCUUUGCCUUUACAUAAAUGUGAAAAUCAGCGGGGACUUGACCUUAUUGACAAUGAUUUUUAGGAGGAGGCAGGUCAGACUAUAGAAGAAGUGAAAUACAUGAUAUGAAUUGAAACGAUGAGCUAAAACAGGAUCAAGUUGGAGACAGAAAAUCACAUAUUUCAAACCGAACUAAUUCAUUACUUAUAUUUACGUUCAUUACAAAUCAUUUAAAAACCUGAAACUAAUUUGUGUGAAUUUUUUACUUACUUGUUAACUCUGCAAGUCCCAAAGCUUAAAAACUGCCGAUUCUGGAGCGCGCAGAUGGCCUGGCGGGUUAGCGCACCCCAUGUAUGGGGAAGACAGUCUCUGCAGCGGUUGCGGGCUUGAGUCUGGCCCUGACCAUGUGCUGCAUAAGAAUAAGAAUAACUUUAUUAAUCCCCGAAGAAAAUUCAAUUGUCUGUUGUCUCACAUAAUAUGUCUCCAAAAGUUACCUACUAUUUACACAAGAGUUAUAAAUUCAAAUGGCUGUUGGUACCAAAGAUCUUCUGAAUCUUUCUGUCCUGCAGCGAAAAAGAGAGAGGAGCCGUCCACCACCAUUGACCCUUUGGUCCAUCAAGGUGUUGUAAAGUGGGUGAUCCAUGUUCUUUAGAAUAGACUCCACCUUCUUCAGUGUAGAUCUCUCCACCACAUCCUCCACUGAGUCCAGCCUGAGUCCAACCACAGAGCCAGCCUUUUUCACCAGUUUGCUAAGUUUGUCCUCCCCCAUCUGCAGUUCCUCCAUUGUCCACUAGAGGCUGGUUCAAAAGUGAGUCAAUCCCCAUAGAGCCCUAUGUUAAAAUGUAAGCAGAAACAAACAUGUUAACAGACUGGUACUGAAAUUGAUUUCUGGCUCAAUACCCUAAUCAUGAUAUCUGCUGAAUAUUUAAAGAUGUCGCUCCCAUAAAUUAUAUAAAGGCUAAAAGUUGUGUAUAAUUAGGGGUGGGGCCUCUUUGAGUGACAGGUCGGAGCUGCUAUCUGUCUGGUAGUUGUCUCUUCAGCUAAACUUAAACUUCUGGGUCAUGUUUGUGGUGCUGGCGCCUUUCCAGGCAUAUAAUCUCCCUUUUAACACUCAUGCUAGCAUUAAUUAGCAGAUAUCUGUGUCUGUGCUCGCCAUCCUUAGCUUUUUAGCUCAUUCAGUGUAUGUCAAACAUUGAUUUAUUCACAGUGCACAGGAGGAGGAUUGUUGUUGGCUGUUCCUGCACAGAACUAUAGUGAUAAGAGGCCUGAUUGUUACAGUUUUAAAGCAAUCAUUAUUCAAACCGAGGACAAACAAAAACUUUAAUCAUGAAGCCUCAGUGAUUGUGUUAGGACUGUUUAAAUAUAAUCAUAAAGUUCAACAACGCUCUCUCAGCAGAAGCUCCAUAAUAACAACAAAUGAUACAUCAUUCUCCCUCUAACUGUCUCGCUGUAUUGUCUGCUUGUUUUUGCGAGAAAAACUUUUGUCCUGAGUGAUUACGAGACAAUGAGAGCGAGCUGUCAUUUGUAAUCAGAGCGAGCUGCAGCAGCAUCCACACUGCUAAUGCAAAAUGUGUUUUUGUUAACUUGUUUCCCUGAGCCAACGGCCGACAGUCCCAAACUUCAAAAGAAGAGUUUGCACGCCCACAUCGGACUGUGAAUGAAAUCACAGACAGGAAUAUAAUUGCGGUGUAUGAAUUAUUCAGUUUGGGGAUUUGUGAUAAGACUAAAUUCUUAUCGGGGGCUUUCCCUCGAGGUCCUGCAGACGGAUUUCUCGUCUCUGUGCUGCCGGCUGCUCCAGCACUCGGCUGAGGUCCCCUGCUUCGCCUGAUACCAACAGGAGGGAACAGUUAGCUGAAUCCACUCAGACUGACAUGCUGCUUACAAACGGGCUUCAUAGGUAAUUAAUCCUUAAUGAAUCUUCUGUGCCCUCAUCCUGACUUUGAUUAUAUUUUGAUACCUUGAAAAACGAGCUGUUAACCCGGGAGUCGUAACAAGAACAAGCAAGCGGGGGGCUUUACUCUGGACUCCCUUUAACAUGAUGGAUCUGGCAUUUGUAGCAGAACUUUGAAGGUUCUGUGUGGUGUGGUGAACACCAGCGCACACAGAAAUCUCUGUUUAGUGUGGCGGGCAGGAGAGGGUUGGCUCUGCAGGAAGCUCACCUGGAUGGGUGGCUGUGCAGGAACUAAUUUUUCUUAUUUACUUAGUGGGAUGUAGUUGAAUUUAUUUUAUAUUUGCCUCUUUUUCUGUUGGGUUAUUUGAGUUGAUUUUCUUUGCUCUGUACUGCUUGGACAUAUAUUUGUGACUAAAGGUCUUAUUCAGCUGCAUGUGUUUAUUUCUCUGUAUUCACCUGACAAUAAUAUUUCAUCUGUACUGACAUAUUCUCAUCUUUACACUGGAACCAGUCUCUAGUCCAGUAGUAAAACAAACCUACUCUCUCUGUGCUCCCUGUGCUGAUGCUGAAAUUUACCUUCAUUAAAGUCCCGGGGGCUUAAAUCCUCCCGGGUGAAUCCCCUGCUCCCUGCCACACAAUCUGCAGGACAGCUGAGGCUGUUUUGAAUAAUUGCUCUAAGUGUGCAGUAAGAGAGCAGGCAGGACCAUCUUGUGCAGAGUUUCUCUUCCCUUUUUGUUUUUGAACAUAUCGGUCCAGAAAACUUUAAAGCACAGCACGAGUUCCCCCCUGUGGCUCACUUUCUGGAAGUGUUGGACCGGUAAAAUGUUUUUUUUUUUUCCUCCUCUGCUAUAAAUCUCUUGUUGUGAUCCUAUACUUCAGGGUUUAACAAUGACCUCAACAAACUCCUCUCUCUCUGCAGCUCUGUGUGACUGCAUGGGAAAGUUACCGCUCUUUCCAGCUUACUUUACUUCAGAGCUGUCUAUCCUGGGCUUUAUCAAAGGGAUCGAGUUUCUUAACUGCUGCCCAAAUUUCAAAAAAGCCUCCCACUACUGUUCUCUGCAGCAGAAAGUCACCUCCAGAUACAGUAUAUCUCCAACACAUCAGAAAAAUGUAGGAGUAUAUCAUAGAGGUGCUAUCGUUAGAGCUCAGAUGGACAGGCUUUCAGAUUUAACAUUUAGGUCUUCCUCUUAUAGAUCAAACCAGCUCUGUCUUUGAAAAGUUUGCAUCUUUGUGAUGAUAUCCCGAAGAUCCAAGGUGCUCGGGGGGGGGAGGCACAGCUGAGUCAAAAGCCAGGUCUCACAAUUCAUUUUAUUUUUGGCAGCGUGUGUCAGACAUCUUUGUUCUUAUAAAGGUGUGACCUCGGCAGUUAAGUGCCCGAACUCCGAGUGGGAGUCAGCGCUUUUAGAAGUCCUCCUCAGAAAAGAAGACUGGCUGCGAGGACAUCUGUUUUAUGUGUAAGGUUGUUCUUCUUUUGGCCGCUGCCCCACAUACACAGCUGCACACAUCGGCCCCUGAGGAGUCGGAGCUGAUGCUAACAGGCUCGCCUUGAUGGCACCUUCAGCUCCGUCUCUAUUAUCCUGCGGGGGACAUUAGGUAAAAACAUGGAAAACAUAAGCACCCAAUCGUAAAACCCAUUAGCUAUCGUCUGAUUAAGAAACAUGCACCUGAGAUGACUGCCAAUGUCUUGUUCCUGUGCUCUGCAUUAUUUGGAGUCUGAUUAGUAACUUGGGAAGAUAAAAAAAAGAAGCUAAAUUUACCCUUCCACAUAUCUGCAUCCUCUAGAAGUGUACCUGUUCAUCUGUCACUGCUGAGUCUCAGUUUCACUGUCAAUAAGUAUGGGAUGAAACCGUUAUGCCACUCACUAUCGUAGGACCCAACAAAUAUUUAAUGAUCUAUCCAUCUAUCUAUCUAUCUAUCUAUCUAUAUCCAUUUAUCUACGUCUAUCUAUCUAUCUAUCUAUCUGUUUGUCUAUCUAUCUAUCUAUCUAUCUAUCUAUCUAUCUAUCUAUCUAUCUAUCUAUCUAUCUAUCUAUCUAUCUAUCUAUCUAUCUAUCUAUCUAUCUAUCUAUCUAUCUAUCUAUCUGUUUGUCUAUCUAUCUAUCUAUCUAUCUAUCUAUCUAUCUAUCUAUAUCCAUUUAUCUAUGUCUAUCGAUCUAUCUAUCUUUUUAUCUAUAUCCAUUUAUCUACGUAUCUAUCUAUCUAUCUAUCUAUCUAUCUAUCUAUCUAUCUAUCUUUGUUUUAAAAAGUCUUUCAUACAGCUGAUAUUUACGGUGUAGGAAACCUUUAACGAUAUAGAAAAGGGGAUUAAAGUUGUUUUUAUAAAAUUUAAGAAAAAGCAAGUCUGGAGGAAUUUUCAAGAGUAACUGACGAUUAGGAAGAGGAGCAGCAAACGUGUAAAAGUUCUGAAAUACAACAGGCACUAAUCAGGCACCUCUGGGUUGAGGUGACACAGUUGCUCUGUUCUGUCCAAUCUAAGCUUGGGUUCAAAGAAGGAACAACAAACCAGUACAGAGAAACAUCUUCAAAGGCCUUAAUGAUAGGUGUUAUAUAUAAAUGAAAAAGGGCUGGUGGGAUCAGUCACACAUACUGAUGGUGGGUGUGGGAGUAGAUCACACACACCGUGGGAGCAGGUGGUAAUGGUCAGAAACCCAGCAGGAGCAGGAGGGGGUGGGAUUAAGACCACGGUCCCAUGAGGGUCUUGAGGAUGAAUUGGCUGUACUCCCAGAACCCAUCGGAUAUCAUCCACACAUCCAUCAUGUGAACUCUAACAUAUUUAUAGGCAGCUUAUCUUCUUUAUGGUCUUGAGGGGCUGCAGCUUAUCCCCUAGGCAAAAAGUGGGGUUACACCUGAAAAGGUCAACAGUCAGCCAAAGAGCAAACACAGCAAAUCUACGGGCCCUAUCGUAACCCAAGUGCAAAGUGUUCAGACAUUUGUCAUUAUUAUUUUCAGUCAUCAUUUUCAUGCCUGGAGCCCAUGUAACCUUCUCCUUUGGGUGGGUUGGUUUUAGAAUGGCUUGAGGUUUGGUGCAAAGGUAGCGGAUUGCUGUCUUGACGAUGUAAAGAGCAUCUGUGCUCUAUAGACCAUCAAAAACCCGGUCUAAAGUCAGCCAUGUAGUGUGUUCCUGAUAUUUAGACGGUGUAUCAGUGAGACCACAAGAGUUCAAAACAUGCAUUCCUCUGCUUGUCAGACACCAACAGAAACACA
Molecule: long non-coding RNA, 7959 nt
Filed under: Xyrichtys novacula (pearly razorfish)
Lineage: Eukaryota; Metazoa; Chordata; Actinopteri; Labriformes; Labridae
Source: RNAcentral